RNAcentral lists this ribosomal RNA (497 nucleotides) under uncultured bacterium. RNAcentral describes it as "partial 16S ribosomal RNA". It matches the Rfam family "Bacterial small subunit ribosomal RNA", at positions 28 to 507 of the family's 1533-position model. The record is from RNAcentral.
GAUGAACGCUGGCGGCGUGCCUAAUACAUGCAAGUCGAGCGAACAGAUGAGGAGCUUGCUCCUCUGACGUUAGCGGCGGACGGGUGAGUAACACGUGGAUAACCUACCUAUAAGACUGGGAUAACUUCGGGAAACCGGAGCUAAUACCGGAUAAUAUAUUGAACCGCAUGGUUCAAUAGUGAAAGACGGUUUUGCUGUCACUUAUAGAUGGAUCCGCGCCGCAUUAGCUAGUUGGUAAGGUAACGGCUUACCAAGGCGACGAUGCGUAGCCGACCUGAGAGGGUGAUCGGCCACACUGGAACUGAGACACGGUCCAGACUCCUACGGGAGGCAGCAGUAGGGAAUCUUCCGCAAUGGGCGAAAGCCUGACGGAGCAACGCCGCGUGAGUGAUGAAGGUCUUCGGAUCGUAAAACUCUGUUAUUAGGGAAGAACAAAUGUGUAAGUAACUAUGCACUUCUUGACGGUACCUAAUCAGAAAGCCACGGCUAACUACGUG